This 484-nucleotide ribosomal RNA is filed under the name uncultured bacterium. RNAcentral describes it as "partial 16S ribosomal RNA". It matches the Rfam family "Bacterial small subunit ribosomal RNA", at positions 30 to 507 of the family's 1533-position model. The record is from RNAcentral.
AUUGAACGCUGGCGGCAGGCCUAACACAUGCAAGUCGAGCGGAUGAAGGGAGCUUGCUCCUGGAUUCAGCGGCGGACGGGUGAGUAAUGCCUAGGAAUCUGCCUGGUAGUGGGGGAUAACGUCCGGAAACGGGCGCUAAUACCGCAUACGUCCUGAGGGAGAAAGUGGGGGAUCUUCGGACCUCACGCUAUCAGAUGAGCCUAGGUCGGAUUAGCUAGUUGGUGGGGUAAAGGCCUACCAAGGCGACGAUCCGUAACUGGUCUGAGAGGGUGAUCAGUCACACUGGAACUGAGACACGGUCCAGACUCCUACGGGAGGCAGCAGUGGGGAAUAUUGGACAAUGGGCGAAAGCCUGAUCCAGCCACGCCGCGUGUGUGAAGAAGGUCUUCGGAUUGUAAAGCACUUUAAGUUGGGAGGAAGGGCAGUAAGUUAAUACCUUGCUGUUUUGACGUUACCAACAGAAUAAGCACCGGCUAACUUCGUG